This 73-nucleotide transfer RNA is filed under the name Dendronephthya gigantea. RNAcentral describes it as "tRNA-Lys". It matches the Rfam family "tRNA". From Rfam's summary of the family: Transfer RNA (tRNA) molecules are approximately 80 nucleotides in length. The record is from RNAcentral. Lineage: Eukaryota; Metazoa; Cnidaria; Anthozoa; Malacalcyonacea; Nephtheidae.
GCCCGGUUAGCUCAGUUGGUAGAGCAUCAGACUUUUAAUCUGAGGGCCAUGGGUUCGAGUCCCAUAUAGGGCU